CCCAACCAUGACCCUAGUCCUACAACCUGAACUCUGCCUUAUCAUAAAGCCCAUCCAAUUCAGUUUUCUUUUGUAGUCCCUGGAAUUAACCCUUGCAAGUCUUAUUACUGGUAUCCUCCUGGUAAACCCUGGCACCUGAGGUUACAGCUGAAAAAUAUUGCCUAGGGGAAAAAAGUCAUUCCUGAAAUUGUCAUAUAGCCAGAAGCUUUUGGUUUAGGGCAACACGGACAGACAGAAGAACUAUUUUCACCUUGGGCCAGCUAAUUCUAAUUCAAUUACCUCCCACUAGAUGUACAGGAAUAUUUGGUGUAACACCUGCCUUUGUUUUAUUUUUCAUGGAAAACAGGCUGAUAUCUCCUCUUUCAGAGAGGGUUUUUUUUUUUUUUUUUUCCCUCUCCCUCUGCCUUUAUCAUCAUCUCUUUCACUCUUUUGUAGGAAGAAGAUGCCCUCCCACCACAGAACAGCAGUCUGGAGACAGGAGAAGAGGCUCUGCUGCAGGCCAACUUGUUCCAUUUCCUUUAUGUCUUUAUGUUGCACUCAAGAUCUGUGGUGUGCAGGUUUCCAAUGCGUGGUUACUUUGACUUUACUCUGAAAUAUCCCUUACAAGAACUCCAUGGCAAUGUUACCUUGAGGAAAACAAAUGUCCAAGAUCUUAAAUCACAUGGUAUGUUACUGUAGCAGGCAGUGCUGGGCUAUGCUGAAAGACAAGAAAGACAUCUUUACAGAUCUUUUUUAUGUUCCAGUGUUUAUUUCACUAACCUCAUCUGGAAACAAAAGAAAAUAAACUCAGGCAACAACAUCUGUUGCUCCUGCUG
Molecule: long non-coding RNA, 815 nt
Filed under: Anser brachyrhynchus (Pink-footed goose)
Lineage: Eukaryota; Metazoa; Chordata; Aves; Anseriformes; Anatidae
Description: lncRNA (ENSABRG00000009932.1)
Source: RNAcentral